CAUUACUGACACUAAGGCACGAAAGCGUGGGGAGCAAACGGGAUUAGAUACCCCGGUAGUCCACGCCGUAAACUAUGGAUGCUAGCUGUGACACACAUCGACCUGUGUCGUAGCGAAGUUAACGCGUUAAGCAUCCCGCCUGGGGAGUACGGUCGCAAGAUUAAAACUCAAAGGAAUUGACGGGGACCCGCACAAGCGGUGGAGCGUGUUGUUUAAUUCGAUGGUAAGCGAAGAACCUUACCAAGGCUUGAAAUCCCGAUAGCAGUUCAUCGAAAGAAGAACCUCAUUUAGUUGGAUCGGUGACAGGUGAUGCAUGGCCGUCGUCAGCUCGUGUCGUGAGAUGUAUGGUUAAGUCCAUUAACGAGCGCAACCCUUAUGUUUAGUUGGAUUUUUCUAAACAGACUGCCAUGGCAACAGGGAGGAGGGAGGGGAUGACGUCAGGUCAGUAUUUCCCUUACGUCUUGGGCUACAAACACGCUACAAUGGCCGGUACAAAGGGCAGCGAACCCGCGAGGGGAAGCAAAUCUCAUCAAAACCGGUCUCAGUUCGGAUUGCAGGCUGAAACUCGCCUGCAUGAAGCUGGAAUCGCUAGUAACGGUAGGUCAGCACACUACCGUGAAUACGUUCCCGGGUCUUGUACACACCGCCCGUCAAACCAUGAAAGUGGCCAACACCCAAA
RNAcentral lists this ribosomal RNA (679 nucleotides) under uncultured Candidatus Saccharibacteria bacterium. RNAcentral's name for it is "bacterial SSU rRNA". It matches the Rfam family "Bacterial small subunit ribosomal RNA", at positions 735 to 1425 of the family's 1533-position model. The record is from RNAcentral. Lineage: Bacteria; Candidatus Saccharimonadota.